Molecule: unclassified non-coding RNA, 365 nt
Filed under: Hevea brasiliensis (rubber tree)
Lineage: Eukaryota; Viridiplantae; Streptophyta; Magnoliopsida; Malpighiales; Euphorbiaceae
Source: RNAcentral
GCCAUGCUGCGUUGAUGAAGUCCGCCUUGAGGCCUGGUUAUGAGUUUGAUCAGCUUUUGGUUCUUGACGUUGAGGGAAGCAAUUUAAUACUCUCUGCAAAACAUUCUCUUGUGACCUCAGCUCAGCAACUUCCGCUGGAUGUCAAUCAAGUCCAUCUUAACUCUGUGCUGCAUGGGUAUGUUUGUAAUAUAAUUGAAAGUGGCAUCUUCAUUCGCUACCUUGGGCGCUUGACUGGGUUUUCUCCAAGAAACAAGGCUACUGAUGACAGAAGAUCCAGUUUGUCUGAAGUUUACCAGAUUGGCCAAUCUGUUCGCACUAACAUUAUUGAUGUCAGCAGUGAAACAAGUCGAAUUACAGUUUCUUUG